This 208-nucleotide long non-coding RNA is filed under the name Linum usitatissimum (flax). RNAcentral's name for it is "long non-coding RNA (LUSI_LNC005950)". The record is from RNAcentral. Lineage: Eukaryota; Viridiplantae; Streptophyta; Magnoliopsida; Malpighiales; Linaceae.
UGGGAUGAUAAUACGUUUGGAUCGGAUUAUCUACGGAUAUCGAUACCAAAAAUCUUCCACCAUAUAUGAAAUUUUCUCGUUCAUCUACCUCUUUCAUCAUGGUGAACGAUCCGCUAGUGUUGCAAGUGGAGUUGAAUGUUCAAGAGGUGGUUAGAAUUUCAAAGCAUAAACAUAUGAAACUAUCAAUGUCUUUGCUCAUCUCUGUAUG